UCGCGGGGUAGAGCAGUCUGGUAGCUCGUCGGGCUCAUAACCCGGAGGUCGCAGGUUCGAAUCCUGUCCCCGCUAU
This 76-nucleotide transfer RNA is filed under the name Planctomycetes bacterium ADurb.Bin126. RNAcentral describes it as "tRNA-Met". It matches the Rfam family "tRNA". From Rfam's summary of the family: Transfer RNA (tRNA) molecules are approximately 80 nucleotides in length. Their secondary structure includes four short double-helical elements and three loops (D, anti-codon, and T loops). Further hydrogen bonds mediate the characteristic L-shaped molecular structure. tRNAs have two regions of fundamental functional importance: the anti-codon, which is responsible for specific mRNA codon recognition, and the 3' end, to which the tRNAs corresponding amino acid is attached (by aminoacyl-tRNA synthetases). tRNAs cope with the degeneracy of the genetic code in two manners: having more than one tRNA (with a specific anti-codon) for a particular amino acid; and 'wobble' base-pairing, i.e. permitting non-standard base-pairing at the 3rd anti-codon position. Lineage: Bacteria; Pseudomonadati; Planctomycetota. The record is from RNAcentral.